UUUUAAGUAUAAAUUGAUUAUUUCUACCAGAGCACUAUGAGUUUUACACUUAAAACUCAAAGGACUUGGCGGUGCUUUAGACUUCUCAGGGGAACCUGUUUCGUAAUCGACAGUCCACGUGACACCUUUCCUUCUUUUGUUUUCAGUUUGUAUACCGUCGUCGCCAGGUAACUUUUAAAAAUACUAGAAGUUAGCAAUAAAGCCUAAUAUAAUUAGCUUUUACGUCAGAUCAAGGUGCAGCCUAUAAGAAGGUGAAAAUGGGUUACAAUUAAAAAUUAUAAUUACGGAGAAAGAAUGAAAUUUUUGCCCGAAGGAGGACUUGAAAGUAAAGAUUUAAUUAAUAUAAAUUUCUUGAAUUAAGCUCUGAAGCGUGC
Molecule: ribosomal RNA, 374 nt
Filed under: Caledomelanella frustulum
Lineage: Eukaryota; Metazoa; Mollusca; Gastropoda; Zemelanopsidae
Description: partial small subunit ribosomal RNA
Source: RNAcentral